This 369-nucleotide ribosomal RNA is filed under the name Dendropsophus microps (Nova Friburgo treefrog). RNAcentral's name for it is "partial 16S ribosomal RNA". It matches the Rfam family "Bacterial large subunit ribosomal RNA", at positions 1945 to 2464 of the family's 2925-position model. The record is from RNAcentral. Lineage: Eukaryota; Metazoa; Chordata; Amphibia; Anura; Hylidae.
ACCGUGCGAAGGUAGCGUAAUCACUUGUUCUUUAAAUGAGGACUAGUAUGAAUGGCACCACGAAGGUUAUACUGUCUCCUUUUUCUAAUCAAUGAAACUGAUUUCCCCGUGAAGAAGCGGGGAUAAAAAUAUAAGACGAGAAGACCCUAUGGAGCUUUAAACUAUAUAACACUGGCUUAUACACCUACACAUUUCAGAAUUACAGUAUCCAUUCUAGCCUUCAUGUCUAUUAGUUUUAGGUUGGGGUGACCGCGGAGUAAAAAUUAACCUCCACAUUGAACGGAACCUAUUCCUGAGCCAAAAGCUACAACUUCAAGCACCAACAAAAUGACAUUAAUUGACCCAAUAUUUUGAUCAACGAACCAAGUU